Molecule: microRNA, 22 nt
Filed under: Tetranychus urticae (two-spotted spider mite)
Lineage: Eukaryota; Metazoa; Arthropoda; Arachnida; Trombidiformes; Tetranychidae
Description: tur-miR-124-2-5p
Gene: tur-miR-124-2-5p
Source: miRBase by way of RNAcentral
GUGUUCACUGUUUGCCUUCAUG